Molecule: ribosomal RNA, 505 nt
Filed under: uncultured bacterium
Lineage: Bacteria
Description: partial 16S ribosomal RNA
Rfam family: Bacterial small subunit ribosomal RNA
Source: RNAcentral
GACGAACGCUGGCGGCGUGCCUAAUACAUGCAAGUAGAACGCACAGUUUAUACCGUAGCUUGCUACACCAUAGACUGUGAGUUGCGAACGGGUGAGUAACGCGUAGGUAACCUGCCUGGUAGCGGGGGAUAACUAUUGGAAACGAUAGCUAAUACCGCAUAAUAUUGAUUAUUGCAUGAUAAUUGAUUGAAAGCUGCUAUUGCAUCACUACCAGAUGGACCUGCGUUGUAUUAGCUAGUAGGUGAGGUAACGGCUCACCUAGGCGACGAUACAUAGCCGACCUGAGAGGGUGAUCGGCCACACUGGGACUGAGACACGGCCCAGACUCCUACGGGAGGCAGCAGUAGGGAAUCUUCGGCAAUGGACGAAAGUCUGACCGAGCAACGCCGCGUGAGUGAAGAAGGGUUUCGGAUCGUAAAGCUCUGUUGUAAGAGAAGAACGGGUGUGAGAGUGGAAAGUUCACACUGUGACGGUAUCUUACCAGAAAGGGACGGCUAACUACGUG